Long non-coding RNA from Asparagus officinalis (garden asparagus), 249 nucleotides. RefSeq lists it as uncharacterized. The record is from RefSeq and is a predicted model, not a curated record. The transcript is spliced from 2 exons. Lineage: Eukaryota; Viridiplantae; Streptophyta; Magnoliopsida; Asparagales; Asparagaceae.
UUACCAAGUCAAGCCUAUUGAAGAUCAAGAUCAAGCUUGGUUCUGUACUCAAUGUGGGAGAAGAACAUGUAGAAAUGAUUAUCUGUACUCUAUAUCACAAGAGGUCCCUAUAUUCCCCACUUUGUAUACUUUUCGAGGGGUGGUGAAUGGGAGAAUAACAUGUGAUUACUUUAUUGUUUGUGUAUAACCAUAGUAAUAAUAACCAUUGUGACAUUCUGCUUGUUAUCUCAGUUCAGGAGGAUCAAAGGU